UUAGUGGCGGACGGGUGAGUAACGCGUGGGUAACCUGCCUUAUACAGGGGGAUAACAACCAGAAAUGGUUGCUAAUACCGCAUAAGCGCACAGGACCGCAUGGUCCGGUGUGAAAAACUCCGGUGGUAUAAGAUGGACCCGCGUUGGAUUAGCUAGUUGGCAGGGUAACGGCCUACCAAGGCGACGAUCCAUAGCCGGCCUGAGAGGGUGAACGGCCGCAUUGGGACUGAGACACGGCCCAG
RNAcentral lists this ribosomal RNA (242 nucleotides) under uncultured bacterium. RNAcentral describes it as "partial 16S ribosomal RNA". It matches the Rfam family "Bacterial small subunit ribosomal RNA", at positions 92 to 334 of the family's 1533-position model. The record is from RNAcentral.